UUUGUAUAAUGGGUCAGCGACUUAUAUUCUGUAGCAAGGUUAACCGUAUAGGGGAGCCGCAGGGAAACCGAGUCUUAACUGGGCGUUAAGUUGCAGGGUAUAGACCCGAAACCCGGUGAUCUAGCCAUGGGCAGGUUGAAGGUUGGGUAACACUAACUGGAGGACCGAACCGACUAAUGUUGAAAAAUUAGCGGAUGACUUGUGGCUGGGGGUGAAAGGCCAAUCAAACCGGGAGAUAGCUGGUUCUCCCCGAAAGCUAUUUAGGUAGCGCCU
This 273-nucleotide ribosomal RNA is filed under the name Acinetobacter baumannii. RNAcentral's name for it is "partial 23S ribosomal RNA". It matches the Rfam family "Bacterial large subunit ribosomal RNA", at positions 607 to 882 of the family's 2925-position model. The record is from RNAcentral. Lineage: Bacteria; Pseudomonadati; Pseudomonadota; Gammaproteobacteria; Moraxellales; Moraxellaceae.